RNAcentral lists this ribosomal RNA (253 nucleotides) under uncultured bacterium. RNAcentral's name for it is "partial 16S ribosomal RNA". It matches the Rfam family "Bacterial small subunit ribosomal RNA", at positions 524 to 776 of the family's 1533-position model. The record is from RNAcentral.
UACGGGGGGGGCAAGCGUUGUUCGGAAUUACUGGGCGUAAAGCGCGCGUAGGCGGCUUUGCAAGUCAGAGGUGAAAGCCUGGAGCUCAACUCCAGAACUGCCUUUGAAACUGCAUCGCUAGAAUCAUGGAGAGGUUAGUGGAAUUCCGAGUGUAGAGGUGAAAUUCGUAGAUAUUCGGAAGAACACCAGUGGCGAAGGCGACUAACUGGACAUGUAUUGACGCUGAGGUGCGAAAGCGUGGGGAGCAAACAGG